AUUGAACGCUGGCGGCAGGCCUAACACAUGCAAGUCGAGCGGAUGAAGGGAGCUUGCUCCUGGAUUCAGCGGCGGACGGGUGAGUAAUGCCUAGGAAUCUGCCUGGUAGUGGGGGAUAACGUCCGGAAACGGGCGCUAAUACCGCAUACGUCCUGAGGGAGAAAGUGGGGGAUCUUCGGACCUCACGCUAUCAGAUGAGCCUAGGUCGGAUUAGCUAGUUGGUGGGGUAAAGGCCUACCAAGGCGACGAUCCGUAUCUGGUCUGAGAGGAUGAUCAGUCACACUGGAACUGAGACACGGUCAAGACUCCUACGGGAGGCAGCAGUGGGGAAUAUUGGACAAUGGGCGAAAGCCUGAUCCAGCCAUGCCGCGUGUGUGAAGAAGGUCUUCGGAUUGUAAAGCACUUUAAGUUGGGAGGAAGGGCAGUAAGUUAAUACCUUGCUGUUUUGACGUUACCAACAGAAUAAGCACCGGCUAACUUCGUG
This 484-nucleotide ribosomal RNA is filed under the name uncultured bacterium. RNAcentral describes it as "partial 16S ribosomal RNA". It matches the Rfam family "Bacterial small subunit ribosomal RNA", at positions 30 to 507 of the family's 1533-position model. The record is from RNAcentral.